Molecule: transfer RNA, 86 nt
Filed under: Bacteroidota bacterium
Lineage: Bacteria; Pseudomonadati; Bacteroidota
Description: Bacteroidetes bacterium (marine metagenome) tRNA-Met
Rfam family: tRNA
About the family: Transfer RNA (tRNA) molecules are approximately 80 nucleotides in length.
Source: RNAcentral
UGCGGGGUGUGAGAAGUUGGUAUCUCAUCGGCCUCAUAAGCCGACGCCUUUGUGCCUCGCGGGUUCAAGUCCCGCUCCCGCAACUA